GACGAACGCUGGCGGCGUGCUUAACACAUGCAAGUCGAACGAAGAGCGAUGGAAGCUUGCUUCUAUCACUCUUAGUGGCGAACGGGUGAGUAACGCGUAAUCAACCUGCCCUUCAGAGGGGGACAACAGUUGGAAACGACUGCUAAUACCGCAUACGAUCUAAACUCGGCAUCGAGGAUAGAUGAAAGGUGGCCUCUACAUGUAAGCUAUCACUGAAGGAGGGGAUUGCGUCUGAUUAGCUAGUUGGAGGGGGAACGGCCCACCAAGGCGAUGAUCAGUAGCCGGUCUGAGAGGAUGAACGGCCACAUUGGGACUGAGACACGGCCCAGACUCCUACGGGAGGCAGCAGUGGGGAAUCUUCCGCAAUGGGCGAAAGUCUGACGGAGCAACGCCGCGUGAGUGAUGACGGCCUUCGGGUUGUAAAGCUCUGUUAAUCGGGACGAAAGGCCUUCUUGCGAAUAGUGAGAAGGAUUGACGGUACCGGAAUAGAAAGCCACGGCUAACUACGUG
This 510-nucleotide ribosomal RNA is filed under the name uncultured bacterium. RNAcentral's name for it is "partial 16S ribosomal RNA". It matches the Rfam family "Bacterial small subunit ribosomal RNA", at positions 28 to 507 of the family's 1533-position model. The record is from RNAcentral.